RNAcentral lists this unclassified non-coding RNA (1162 nucleotides) under Hevea brasiliensis (rubber tree). The record is from RNAcentral. Lineage: Eukaryota; Viridiplantae; Streptophyta; Magnoliopsida; Malpighiales; Euphorbiaceae.
AAAACGCUUUUCACUUUCAGCAAGCGCCACCAUCCUCCGCCGCUCUCCGCCGAUCGCCGUCGCCGUCGCCGCCGCCGAUUCUGUAUUUGACCUCCGAAACCCUAGAAGUUUCACAUCGUAGAUAGAUUCUUCUAGAAGAAAAUGUGGAGGAGACUCUCUUCUCAGCUCCGAGCUCUAACUCCAUCCCAAUCUCCUCCGAAAUGCAACCUUUUCGUAACAGGUUCUGUUUCAUCUUCGUCUCUGACCUCGGAGAUUUUUCGUCCAUCCGUGGCUCUGUAUAAUCGACAUUUAAGCUCUGAAUUUGGCAAUGCUUCUAAGGAGGAUGAAGUCGAGCAUGGAAACUUAUUCAAAACUAGAUUGAAUAACAUACAUGCUUCACUAACAUCGCCUUACAAGGGUUAUACAUCAUGUUUAUCGCAACACAAUGCCGCGGUCCCAAGUUUCCCUAGAAGGUUCAUUACAACAGGUGCUACUUCAGUUAACAUGGUAUCUGAAGAUGCUUCUGCUUUGGCAACUCCACGAAUCAAAUUUAAGAGGCUGGAUAAAACAGCAAAACAUAUAAUGCAGAUUCUUGAUAAGGAAGCUGUUGAAGAAGUAAGGGCGCAGAAUGAGAUUCCUGAUAUAAAGCCUGGUUAUAUUAUCCAGCUCAAAUUGGAAGUGCCAGAGAACAAGAGACGUGUUUCAACUAUCAAAGGCAUAGUGAUAGCAAGGCGCAAUGCUGGUUUAAAUACUACAUUCAGAUUAAGAAGACUUGUGGCUGGAGUUGGGGUUGAAAACCUAUUUCAUCUGUACUCUCCCAACCUAAAGGAGAUAAAAGUGUUGGACAAGAAAAGAGUGAGGAGGGCCAAGCUAUACUAUCUCAGGGACAAAAUGAAUGCCCUGAAAAAACACUAACAAGCUAGCUCAUGUGGAAGGGUCGAGCCUAUCAUUUCAAUGUUGUUUCGCCAAAUGUAGAAGACUGCAGCAGAAAAGAAUCUUAUUGUUCCAAUUCUGGUAACAGGUUUUACUUAUAUCUGUUGAUCAAUAUGUAUCAGCAACAUGCUUUUCCUUUUCGAGAUUUUGCAGGUAACUUUUAGUAUGUCGCAAGCAGGUCUUGCCAUAGAAUUAGCAUAUCUCUUUUUGUUAGAUUCUACGAUACUCAUAAACUAAGAGUUGUUUUAGA